UAGUCCACGCCGUAAACGAUGUCAACUAGCUGUUGGGGAACUAUGUUCUUCAGUGGCGCAGCUAACGUAGUAAGUUGACCGCCUGGGGAGUACGGCCGCAAGGCUAAAACUCAAAUGAAUUGACGGGGACCCGCACAAGUAGUGGAGCAUGUGGUUUAAUUCGAAGAUACGCGCAGAACCUUACCAACACUUGACAUGUUCGUCGCGACUUUAAGAGAUUAAAGUUUUCGGUUCGGCCGGACGAAACACAGGUGCUGCAUGGCUGUCGUCAGCUCGUGUCGUGAGAUGUUGGGUUAAGUCCCGCAACGAGCGCAACCCUCACUUUUAGUUGCCAUCAUUAAGUUGGGCACUCUGAAAGAACUGCCAGUGAUAAGCUGGGAGGAAGGUGGGGAUGACGUCAAGUCCUCAUGGGCCCUUACGGGGUAGGGGCUACACACGUGCUACAAUGGCGCUGACAAU
This 459-nucleotide ribosomal RNA is filed under the name uncultured bacterium. Its description in RNAcentral is "bacterial SSU rRNA". It matches the Rfam family "Bacterial small subunit ribosomal RNA", at positions 791 to 1243 of the family's 1533-position model. The record is from RNAcentral.